AGCACUAGUACUAAACCAGAUUUCUGUUAAGAACUCUUCCGACUGCCUGCUCACUCCAUGGCUUGCUGGCAAUGGAUUUUACAUCAGGAAAUUGCAGACGUCCUCACGAAAGAGGCCAACGCUCUAUUUAAAUAGCAGCUAUUCAGGGCUUAAAAUUUUAAAGUAAAACUACUAACGUGACAAAGUUUAAGAAACGUGUGAUCUGUUAAUGUUGUUUCCUGGCCAACGGGACUAAUCCUCACAAGACAAGGAGAUCAGAUGCAGGAAUGCCGGAGCACUGCUUUACUUGGAAUAGGAGGGGGAGAGCAAGAGGCAAAAACGGCCACUGAACUCUGAUUCCUGAGUACAUGGUCUUCAGCACCGAGCCCUACAAAUAUCCUGAAUUUGCUUUCUCAUCUCUGUUUUUAUGAAGACUAUUUCCUGCCAAGUUCUAUUUCAGGGUGCUGAUGUGGUGCUCCUGCUACACCAGGAUGUGCAACAUGUUCACAGUGUCCAACUCAGACACUCAAGCAUGUAAGUACUUCACAAGGAAACUGUUCACUAGGCUACUUAUAACUAAUUUUGUGAUUAAUGAGGGGUCUUUAAUUUCCUUAACAACUACCUAAUUUGUUUGGUAUUUUUACAGCAUCAUAUCGCACUACAACAACGGGUGAUUUUGUUGGUCACCCAGAAGCAUCACAGUGGGUCCCAUGGGGGCCAGAAUGUGGCAGAUGCUUCCUGCCAUGUGAAAGCUCCGCACACAAUUACUUCUUCAAAGAAGUCCUGUGCUCUUAAAUAAAGAAUAAUGGAAUUCUCUACAAAGUUAAUCUGGAUGAGAGAUGCUCAUAAGUAGUCAUAGCAAGAUAUACCCACAUUUUUUAUAAAGAAUCUGCAUACUUGUGGUUUAACCACACAAAUUAUGUCUUGUAACAUCUUAAAUGAGAAUAAUCUAUAAGAAAAGCACCCAGAUAAAAAUUUUAACAUUUAUAAAACAAUCACAAGUCCCAAAUCAAUGAGAAUUCUUCUUCCUCUCCCCUGGUUUCUUUUGGUUGUUUGUUCUCUUGUUUUCAAGGUGCAUUUGGGUUUUUUGUUGGCAUGAAAAGAAACGCGUGGAUGACUAGCAGUCUCUAAAUCCCAGUUUACCACUUGCUGGACUGAAAAUUACCAUGGCCAAGCAGCAGUCUCUUUUAAAUGCAAUCAUAUGGACUCAAGUUGUAAGAAACAUCUCAAAUGAAAUGCUGACGUAUUUUUGCUGAAA
This is a long non-coding RNA of Columba livia (rock pigeon), 1237 nucleotides long. RefSeq lists it as uncharacterized. Lineage: Eukaryota; Metazoa; Chordata; Aves; Columbiformes; Columbidae. The transcript is spliced from 3 exons. The record is from RefSeq and is a predicted model, not a curated record.